GCAAAGCAUUCAGCAACUUUCAUACGAAAUUGCUCUAAUGGGAAGUUUGAUGAUGAAGCUGAUCAUAUUGCCAAUCUUGAUUCUGGGUGGAUCAAUCCCUUGUUCUUUCGGAGUUGAAUUUGAAAGCUUGGCUUCAAAGAAGGGAAGGUUUGGUUCUCAAGUAGCAGGGAAAGCAAAAGCUGGGAAGGACAGCUACUUGGGUUUUGAAGAUGUGAAGAGAAACCAGAUGAUGGGAAAGUUGAGGGAAUAUGAAAAUAUAAUAACUACUUCAGCUUCCAAGCAAAACGUUUAUGCCAAUUUCAGAUACAAUCAGAUGAUAAUGCGUAGACUAUUUCAAGUACGAUCUUCUCCAGCUGUAUAUGCUCCAGGUAGUCGGAGUCCUCAAGGUUCUGGUCCUUGAUUAUGCACUGGGAUGGAACAGUGUAAUAUCGAAAU
RNAcentral lists this unclassified non-coding RNA (435 nucleotides) under Hevea brasiliensis (rubber tree). Lineage: Eukaryota; Viridiplantae; Streptophyta; Magnoliopsida; Malpighiales; Euphorbiaceae. The record is from RNAcentral.